GCCCGGGUGGCUCAGUCCAUGAAGCGUCUGACUUCAGCUCAGGUCAUGAUCUCAUGGUUCGUGGGUUCGAGCCCCGCGUCGGGCU
This 85-nucleotide transfer RNA is filed under the name Felis catus (domestic cat). It matches the Rfam family "tRNA". From Rfam's summary of the family: Transfer RNA (tRNA) molecules are approximately 80 nucleotides in length. The record is from Rfam by way of RNAcentral. Lineage: Eukaryota; Metazoa; Chordata; Mammalia; Carnivora; Felidae.